AUAAUUUUACAUCUUUUCUUCUAUCUCAUAGGUAGUACACAUAUCUUCAUCUCAUCUCCUCCAGAGACCGACGGGGAAGGAAGGUCCCUCACAGAGAGUUGCCAAUUUGAAACAUAAUUCUCAGCCGGGAUUGUUCGUAUUUGGUAUGGAUUCUUAUCCAUCAUAUAGAAGUAUUGAACUUUGGUCUUCCAAUCAUCGAGUGUUGGAUCAUUCGACAGUGCCGGACCCAAAAGGAUUUGAAGACUUUCCAUC
Molecule: long non-coding RNA, 252 nt
Organism: Sphaerodactylus townsendi
Lineage: Eukaryota; Metazoa; Chordata; Lepidosauria; Squamata; Sphaerodactylidae
Exons: 4
Source: RefSeq, a predicted model, not a curated record